RNAcentral lists this ribosomal RNA (218 nucleotides) under uncultured bacterium. RNAcentral's name for it is "partial 16S ribosomal RNA". It matches the Rfam family "Bacterial small subunit ribosomal RNA", at positions 1282 to 1500 of the family's 1533-position model. The record is from RNAcentral.
ACAGUCUCAGUUCGGAUUGAAGGCUGAAAUUCGCCUUCAUGAAGCCGGAAUUGCUAGUAAUGGCAGGUCAGCAUACCGCCGUGAAUACGUUCCCGGGCCUUGUACACACCGCCCGUCACACCAUGAGAGUUGGGAAUACCCGAAGCCUGUGAGCUAACUUUUAGAGGCAGCAGUCGAAGGUAGAAUCAAUGAUUGGGGUGAAGUCGUAACAAGGUACC